UGAUGUAAGUUGAAGUACUGAACGAACCCUGUCAUAUGAAGCAGAGCAGUUUAAUGUGUGUCUGAAAAGGAUGUCGUGAAUAACCUUUAGCCAAACGUCUCCAUGGGAACCUGAGGGGUGGUUAUUUCAUUCGUUGCAUCUCCAGGCAAAUGUUUUCAAGACGUAUCGAGUUCUCUUUAAAUGUAACAAGCAGUAAGUUACCUCCAAUAGAAGCUAACGGUACGACGAACUACACGCAGCAGACGACGUCCCGGUGUAUUAACGUCGAGGCCAGUAAGCUGAAUUGUUUAUUGACAGGCGUUUUGAAGGAUGACAUCAACAACAUGCUGUCCAGCUCCAUGUCAUAACAGAAAUGCGUUGACCUGGCUUCUAUGCCCAAACAUUGAUCAUGUGUCCUCUGCAUUGCAAAUUCUUGUUCACCUUGCUCAGGAGGACAAAGGUGAACUUGUCGAAAAGGUUCUUCAGCACUGCAACCCAGAAUUAUGCAUAGAUGCUCUUCGAAAACUGCUGAAGUCACCUGCCUCAUGGCUGAGUAGUACUGGAGCUUGUAUCUUUGGGGUCCUGCUGGAAAAUGAGUCCAUGGUGCUGAAACUUCAGAAGGGGACCAAAGGGGAAAGCAAUCUCAUAUGUGACCUUGUUCAGAUGUUUACUGAAGAUGAUCCUGAUGUUGUGAUGAAUGCUGCUGGAGCCAUAGCCUCAUUGUUUUACAAAUGAAGAAAUCAACAAAGAAGAAUGAAGAACCCAAAGAAAUCAAACCCUCUAGCACCACCAACAGCUCAAAGUUGCACUCAUGUUCAUGCUAAUAAGUUUAGAACCGUAAAGUUUAGACCAUAGACUGUAAAAAAACAUGGACGAAGUGUCUGUGACAUCACCCAUAGGUUUCCGAAGAGUGUUUUAAAGGCCUAAAGUAGGUGGAGCCGACCGUUGCCAUCUUGGCAGCGCGUCACUCCCGGAUAAUCGAAAAUGGGCAAAAAAGCGGGAGAUGGUUGUUGAAACCACGCCCACCUAUCUCGACAUUGAUGACAGCAGCGGCAAUCCACCUGUCACUCAAGUGGCCAUGCCAUUAAUUAUGCAGAACUUUAAGGCUUAAUAUAAUUUAAACGGAUGAGUUAUUCACCCCCCUCACAGUUGUCAUGAAGGGCAAAAUUAGCUAUGUGGACCAAAAUGAUUUUUUGAACCAGGCUGUAAACAUGUUUUUUCUGCUGUAAAUUUGGGCAUUUUAACAUGGGGAGUCUGUGGAGUUGACUCCCUUUUGCAGCCAGCUUCUAGUGGCCAGUUGAGGAAUUAGUUUAAGUCCCUUCUGUGUUGGCCUCACGAGAGAGAGCGUGAGGUUGCCGCUUGGUUUAGACACUAAAUUAUUUUUUCCCCCACUGAUUUCCUGGCUAAUGUUAAGUCGAAUACAUAGCAAAAUUUUUAAUUCUAUGGUUCAAGAUUUUUCAAUUUUAAAUGAUAAAAAAAACUACUUUUUCUACUUUUCUUUUUCUAAUUUUCACUAAUUGUCAAACCAUUCUCCAACAAUGUGCAAAUGAAUACAAUGAAGUGCAUGCAAAACUGAAUGUGAGGCUAUAUCUCCACAAUGUUUAAGCAUAUUCUGACCAAACUUGGUGUGUUAUGACAACCAUGACCUGAGGCUACCUGCACAGUUUUCUAUCUAGUGUAGAAACCAUUAAAUCAUACUACUAAUGACUGAAUUUAUGACUAUUUCAGCCAGUUUGAGUAAAAUAACCUUACUCAGGUUUAGAUUAUAUAUAUAUAUAUAUAUAUAUAUAUAUAUA
Molecule: long non-coding RNA, 1775 nt
Organism: Cyprinus carpio carpio
Lineage: Eukaryota; Metazoa; Chordata; Actinopteri; Cypriniformes; Cyprinidae
Source: Ensembl